AGGGGUAUCGCCAAGCGGUAAGGCAGUGGACUCUGACUCCACCAUUCAAAGGUUCGAAUCCUUUUACCCCUG
Molecule: transfer RNA, 72 nt
Filed under: Veillonella montpellierensis DNF00314
Lineage: Bacteria; Bacillati; Bacillota; Negativicutes; Veillonellales; Veillonellaceae
Rfam family: tRNA
About the family: Transfer RNA (tRNA) molecules are approximately 80 nucleotides in length.
Source: Rfam by way of RNAcentral